This 621-nucleotide small RNA is filed under the name Arabidopsis thaliana (thale cress). RNAcentral describes it as "ATSL211370". The record is from RNAcentral. Lineage: Eukaryota; Viridiplantae; Streptophyta; Magnoliopsida; Brassicales; Brassicaceae.
AAACUAAUGGGUAUGUAUUAGGGAUAUUGUCUCACAUCAGAAGAUGAGUAUGAUUAGUGGUAUAUAUAAAAUAUGAGUCUCUCCACUCAUUGCUAAUUGGUUUUAAGUUGGAAAUCCACAGUCUAAUAUGGUAUUGGAGCCCGAUCCGCACAUACUCAACCCAAUUCACAUCGGCCCAUCCCAAUACUUGGCCCACCAAUCCAUGCCCGAGCUUAUCAAGAUUGAUGGCUAGAUUUUCGAAGAGUCCUAUUAAGGAUAUUGUCCCACAUCGGAAGUUGAGUAGGAUGUUAAGUGGUAUAUAUAGUAUAUGGGUCUCUCCAUUCAUUGUCAAUUGGUUUUGAGUUGGAAGCCCACAGUCUAAUAGUAUAUGCUUAUUAAGAGAUCUAACUCAUCCAAGUCUAGGUUCAAGCAAGUAAACUACACGGUUGGCGAUUCUACUUCCUUGGAAUAACCAAUCAAUUCUUGAUGUCAACCAUAUGCAUUAAGAUUAAGUAUAAACGAAGAACAAUGUAAAACAAAACAACCCUAGAAAUCGCCACUCAAACUAACUGAUCAUGAAGUUCUCUUUGAAUAACCCUUUAUAACCAACUAAUUUAAAGGAAUCAACAAAACAAGGUAUAU